GUAGGUGAACCUGCGGAAGGAUCAUUAACACGUUUCGUUCCGAACGUUUUCUGACCUCCUUUUUUUCUGUGAACCAAAAACAAAGACCCGGCUCUGCUUCGGUGUGGAUCGGCAAGUAACAUUGCUGUGAAAACACUUUGGCUUGGCCACCUUUUCACCCAACCUUGAAUCUAAUUGUUCUGAACCUUUAGUUGAUGGGAAACUGUCAACGAAUAAAAAAUAAACAACAACUCUUAACAACGGAUAUCUUGGUUCUC
This 257-nucleotide unclassified non-coding RNA is filed under the name rhizosphere metagenome. Its description in RNAcentral is "partial ribosomal RNA internal transcribed spacer region". The record is from RNAcentral.